UGGUGUGUAGCUCGGUUGUAUUUUCUCCGGCAGCCAUAACUUCUCGCGACGGCAUACCUUAGCUUGUGAAUUACUGUCGUGAUUCCCCCUGUGGGACAGAGUUCAUCAUCAUAUCCACCAUCCACGAUCGAGAACGACGGCCACGGCUACGACAACGACAACCAACACUGUAACAAUUUAACAGUUUUUACUAACAAAUUAAUAACAUACGAUGGAUUCACAAACGAUACUGAUCUAUGCUGGUGUGGUGGUUGUUUCUGCGGCUGUUAUUUUGCUGGUAUCAAUUUUUGGUAUUAAAGAAAAAUCUUACGAAGAAGCUAUCGCCGAACAACGUAAAUUUCCUGAUGACUUACUACUAGGUAAAAAAGACAAGGGUAAAGAUAAAAAGCAUAAAAGUAAAACGGGUAAAAAAGUUAAAGAGAAGAAAGAUGAAAAAGAUGAUAAGUCGGAUGAUAAAUCGGAGCAUGUUCAGUUUGAAGAAAAUCCUCAAAUUUUACCAACUGAAAUUAAUGUUCAUGUUCAAGAUGUUAGCAAGGGGAAUAAGAAGAAGAGCAAGCCUGAAAAGGUAAAGCCAAUCCUUGUAAAUAAGGAUGAGUCACCGGUUGUUGUGACUGAGUCAAUAGCUUCGCAGCCUCCCUUGGUAAAUGUCAAUCAUUUUGAUGUCAUUCACCCAAAGGACGACCUUGAAUUAAUUCGGAGUCAAAGUAAGGAAAAUCUCCAGCAAGCGAUUCAGUCAGAAUCGAUGACAGGAAAAUCAUCCCCAAAAGAAACACCGACUAAAUCUAAGAAGAAUGUUGUCAAGGAGCCCGUUAAAAAAAAGGACGAAUCUAAAGACGAAAAACAAGAAUUGACUCCGGCCAUGCAGCAGGCAACUAAAGCUUUAGUGGUGCUUUCAGCAACUGCCCACAUUGCAAAAGAAUCUAAAGAAACUCCACAAAAAGAAAUUCAACAACAGCAACUGCAAAUGCAACCAAAAGAUACAAUUUCAGUUCAGCAGUCUAAUAAAGAGGCUAAUAAAAAAAAUAAAAAGAAAAAUGACAUCCUGGCUCAAAUAGGCGGCGAUAAAGAUGGAAUUCAUGUGUCUUUAUUGAUGCCGUUGGUACAAAAAGCCGAAUUGAGUCGCUCUGAAAUCCAAAUUCUCAUUGAUUUGCUGUUAAACAAGCAAUUGGACAAUCCACAAGAGGUUGCUGAGUGGACUGAGGGCCGUGCUGAUCCGGUAAUAAAAUUAAAGAAACAACUGAGUGAAAAAGAAAAAGCUCUGUCUGAAGAACAUGAAGCCAGCCUGACUUACCAGAAUAAAGUUAAAGAACUGAGGGCUGAAUUAAACUCCGAAAGGUCCAAGUCCUCUGGUACCAUUAAGCAACUUGAAGAGAGCCUCAAUGCCAAAACAACCGAGGCACAAACACUCCACACUCGCAUGCAACACAUACUUGAAACUCACGCCGCGGAAAAACAGGGUUUCGCCCGUCAAAUAGAACAACUACAAGCUAAGGUCAAUGAAGACGCCGCUAUUAUUCAUAAAAUGCAGGAAGAUCAAGGCCAGACACAAGGACAUCUUCAGCAGGAAAUAAUAGCUCAGCGUAAACAGCUAGACAUGCAGUUUGCUCAAAUGCGUGACAAUGAGAAUGCCUUGAAGGCACAGCUGGCCCAGAAACACGUUGAGAUUGAGCAAUUGCAGAAUGUAAACAUGAGUGUUACUCAAGAGCUCCAGGCGACCUGUGAGAGUAGCACAGCUGAGAUUGAAAUUCUUAGACAACAGCUUGGUAUGAUGCAGGAUCAGUGUAUGCACGUGGAAGGACAAUUACAGAAUUUGCGUGAUGCUGAAAUACGUAUUCAAGAUAUGGCACGGCAACUCGAGGAAUCACAUCGCGCCAAUGCUGAUCUUGAUCAUCGGCUGAAAAAUAUUCAUCGUCAUGAGCAAGAGUUGCAGAAGCAGGUUCACUCACUCCAGAAUGAAUUGAAAAUUGUCAAAGCUGAGGCUGGCGACGCUACUGCUUUAAAUGGAGAGUUAAACAAAGUUCAAACGGAAUUGAAUAAACUUAAGUCUGAUUUAUCUGUGUCCCAAAAUGAAGCCAAAACAGAAGCUAUAGAAGUAACUAAUUUGAAAAAUUUAUUGGGUGAUAAAGAGGAGGAAAUUAAAAAACUUCAACUAGAAGCACAAAAAACUGGCGCCGUUGUUAAGAAUUUAGAAUCGGCUUUGAAUGAUGCUAGAAACGAAUUGAGUAAAGCCCGUACUGAGCUGGCUAAAGCCCUCGAAGAUUUGAAACAGGAAAAGAACAGAGUUAAGAAUCUUACCGAUGAAUUGAAAAAUGUUAAAUCACUGGAGAACAACCAAGAAGCCAGUGGUGAUAUUAAAUUAUUGAAAGCCGAAAUAGAACAACUGCAGAAUGGUGACAAAAAAUCAAGCGCCAUUCAUCUUGAAAUAAUUAAACUGCAGGAAGAAAAUGAGCGACUUAAACAUUUACAGCAGAAUCAAGAUGAUAAUAGCCAGAUUGACGCUUUAAAGAAUGAGUUGAAGAUUAAACAGGGUGAAUUUAAUCAACUUAAAGCUCAAGUCGAGGCUCUGCAACGCGACGCUAAUAAUCACUCGAGUACAGCUAAGCGAUUGCAAGAAGACUUGGAGGCCCAGCGAUUAAAGAACAACGAAUUACGCACUAAGAACUGGAAAGUGAUGGAAGCUCUUUCAGCCGCCGAGUCGCGUGUUAAAUCUGAUCCCAGGAAAUCCAGUGACGACAGCUUUGAGAUGGUGAGAACUAAAGAACAGGAAAUAACAAAAUCACUGCUCCAAAGGAUAUUCCCCGAGAUAAACGUUUCAGAAAAAUCUUUUGAUAAAUGGCUGGAGACUUUCGAGGAACGUGUACAAGUUGUUUUACAAGAUAACAAAAAUACUCUUGAGACACAAGAUAUUAAUUCUGAUUUAGAAAAACAAAAUAAAACUCUACAGGGCUUGGUUGCUCAUUACAAACAAAUUAUUAUCGAUACAGAGGGAAUGCUUAAUAAUCUUCAAAAUAAUGUAGAGUCUGAAGAAUCAAGAUGGAAAGCAGACUUACGACAAAAAGAAAACGAAGUUAUUAGUCUAAGAUUAGAAUUACAAGAAAUUAAUAAUAAAACAACACUUAACGAUAAGAUUCACGAACAAAGGGAAACGUGUCAUCACAGUGAUGGAGUUGAAUUUGCAUUUAGUUGCAUAGAAAAAUCUCUACCUAACAUCACUAAAGAGCUUCAAGAAAAAAUUUCACAGUUAGAAUCAAGAUUGAAGGGAGAGGAAGCACAGAAAGAAAAAGCCAAUUUAGUAACAGUAAAAACAACUUACACGUCACCUAUUCAAAAAGCUAAUUUUGCCAAAGUUGAACAACUACAAGAGGAAAAUCAGAGAUUAUCGCAAGAUUUAGAGACUGAACGUGCAAAGAAUGAAACUUUAGACGGUGAAUUGAGUAAAUUGCGGACGCUGGUUGAAAAAAGCGAAGCUAUUCUAAGCCAAGAGAAAAUCUCGGUCUCAAAACUAGAGGAAGAAGUCUGUCGAUUGAAGAAUGAAGCUAUCGGUGCUUGCAGUAGUGUGGAUCAGUCUUCAACAGUGAACGGGCCUCCGUCGUCCGACUGCAAUAAGCCGGAGCAGAUGAGAGCGACCCAGUCUUUGUUAGCUGCGAUAGAAAAAAACCUUUUCGGAAACCCGGAAUCUGAAAACUGUUCCAUAACCAGCUCCAAAUUGGUUGUUGAGUCACAACAAGAUAACAACCGUGACUCGUUUACCUCCGAAUUAAAUUCCGAUAAUUGUCAUACGGCUGCUUAUGACGUACAACCUAUUAACGAUCAACAACAUAAAAAACACAAGAAAAAGAGGAAGGUAAAGCUUAAAUAAAAACAACCAUGGCCAACUUAUUGAUUGGUCAAAGUAUUGCGGGAAAGUAUUACUGGCUCGAUUAAAUAUUUAUUAAAAAUAUGACAAUUGGUGCAUCUUUACUUUUGGGUGGUUCAGGAAAAAAGUAACAUCUAGAAUUAAACUGCGCUAGUGAUGACUACAAAGGAGUUGCGUAGAAUGCAAAAAAAAAAUAUUAUAAAAAUAAAUAAAUAAAUGGAUAGUUUUAUUAGCACAUAAAGUUUAACUGUAAACGUCGAUAGACAGUGACUUUGCUACUGAGAAGACUAAAAUAAUAAUAAUAAUAAUUAAU
This is an RNA transcript of Cotesia glomerata, 4169 nucleotides long. It is a transcript of the gene named kinectin, with no coding region annotated. The transcript is spliced from 15 exons. The record is from RefSeq and is a predicted model, not a curated record. Lineage: Eukaryota; Metazoa; Arthropoda; Insecta; Hymenoptera; Braconidae.